UCGAUCGUUGCUCCCCCCUUUAAUGAGAUGACGUUUGCGCACGUCGAGUCUUGCAUACCGUUCCUGAUCGUUGGGUGGCUUUUGCGGGUUAGAUUGAUCCGUAGGUCCCCCUCCUUCUAGCGCCAAAUUGUGGGAACCGAAAUUCACACUGUCGAUUUCCGUUUAAGUAAGGAAACUAGGAAAACCCUAAUUUCCCAGAGGACCCGGAUAUCUGGUAAUUACCACACGUCAAGCAAUCAGAACACGAGAAUAACAACGAUAAAGUAUAAGAAAUCGAAAAGAGAGCAAAAAGAUCUUAUUCCGAAUUUGCGUAUGAGCGUUUACAACAAGGUAUAAGCCUGGGCUCGAG
RNAcentral lists this long non-coding RNA (349 nucleotides) under Brassica rapa (field mustard). Its description in RNAcentral is "long non-coding RNA (BRAP_LNC008317)". The record is from RNAcentral. Lineage: Eukaryota; Viridiplantae; Streptophyta; Magnoliopsida; Brassicales; Brassicaceae.